RNAcentral lists this ribosomal RNA (299 nucleotides) under uncultured bacterium. Its description in RNAcentral is "partial 16S ribosomal RNA". It matches the Rfam family "Bacterial small subunit ribosomal RNA", at positions 617 to 916 of the family's 1533-position model. The record is from RNAcentral.
GGAACUGCCUUUAAAACUACUAGUCUAGAGUUCGAGAGAGGUGAGUGGAAUUCCGAGUGUAGAGGUGAAAUUCGUAGAUAUUCGGAGGAACACCAGUGGCGAAGGCGGCUCACUGGCUCGAUACUGACGCUGAGGUGCGAAAGUGUGGGGAGCAAACAGGAUUAGAUACCCUGGUAGUCCACACCGUAAACGAUGAAUGCCAGUCGUCGGGUAGUAUACUAUUCGGUGACACACCUAACGGAUUAAGCAUUCCGCCUGGGGAGUACGGUCGCAAGAUUAAAACUCAAAUGAAUUGACGG